Drosophila novamexicana is the source of this 435-nucleotide long non-coding RNA. RefSeq lists it as uncharacterized. NCBI's taxonomy places the organism in Eukaryota, Metazoa, Arthropoda, Insecta, Diptera, Drosophilidae. The transcript has 5 exons. The record is from RefSeq and is a predicted model, not a curated record.
CUGGUUCCGGACCCAGCGUACCCGCCCUACCAUGAGACGAUCACCUCCACUCGUCUCCCUCAUUUUGGCCACUAAAUGGCCUAUAUUAGCCCGUGUCGGCCAUAAUGCCCACUCUCCCCAACAAUAUUAUUUUAGCCGGACAUGAUUUCUUUCACUAGCUGUUUAGGAUCUCAUGCAAGCGGAUAAUUCAUUAACUUCACAGGUAAAUUCGUAUUCAUGCACGUGAACAUUUCUUCUCCAGAAUUAAUUUUUUUAUUUUUUUACAACACUGAAUGGAACAGGCGACGAAAUACUACAAGGAUAUUGCUAGUCGCCGCAAUAGAAACGCGCAAGGAGGCACUUUAGAGGCAAUCGUUGCGCCUAUUUAGGAACAAUGGCCCACACAAUUACUUAAAACUGGAGCUCUCUGGGGGUGGUAAGGGGCGAUAUAAAUGC